Molecule: ribosomal RNA, 230 nt
Filed under: uncultured bacterium
Lineage: Bacteria
Description: partial 16S ribosomal RNA
Rfam family: Bacterial small subunit ribosomal RNA
Source: RNAcentral
GACGAACGCUGGCGGCGUGCUUAACACAUGCAAGUCGAGCGGUAAGGCCCUUUCGGGGGUACACGAGCGGCGAACGGGUGAGUAACACGUGGGUGACCUGCCCUCAGCUCUGGGAUAAGCCUGGGAAACCGGGGUCUAAUACUGGAUAUGACUCCAUGACGCAUGUUGUGGGGUGGAAAGCCUUGUGCGGCUGAGGAUGGGCCCGCGGCCUAUCAGCUUGUUGGUGGGGU